Long non-coding RNA from Folsomia candida, 611 nucleotides. RefSeq lists it as uncharacterized. The transcript has 2 exons. The record is from RefSeq and is a predicted model, not a curated record. NCBI's taxonomy places the organism in Eukaryota, Metazoa, Arthropoda, Collembola, Entomobryomorpha, Isotomidae.
CGCUCACUCAUUCAACCAACUCGUAUCUUCUCGUCCCCCAUCGUGUAUGACCAUCCAUAGUCCACUUCUCCAGCAGCCAUUCUGCGCAUCCCGGUCCACAAAUUUAAUCCAUGGAUGACUGCCAAUCCUCCCUCCCUCACUCCUCGUAAGUAAGUGAAAGCAAGAAAGUCAAAAGGAUGGUAAACAGCAUUCGCAUACCACCACCCGACCAGCAGCCUCGUCUCCUCUCGCUCCUCUCCCAUGCCUCACUCUCAUUUUCUGAAUAAGUCCCUAAUAACACUUUCUCUCCCUUCAUUGGCCCACAGCAGGGAGACAAGAAGGCACCUUUGUGAUCCUAGCCCAGGGUGAUUGAUCAGGCAUGAUCAGGCAUCAACUAAUUGCAUAAUCAUGCAAGUAGCUCUAAAACAUUAAGAUUGUCUGUGUCGUGGGUUGAGUGAAUUACCCCGACAACGUGUUAUCAUUAUUUCAUGUCUAAAUAUAGUCUGAAUCAGAGAGUCAGUAGGGUCAUUAUUUCAUGUACGUAUGUCAAGUUAGUACUUAUGCAUGAUUACUGAUGCCCGAUGUAUGUACUCUAAAGUAAUAAAGCCAAGUUUAUAAGUUGAUCAACACAA